CCUGGGACCAGCCGGGGGCGGGCAGGGCCGCCGGCUUCCGGCUGCCCCGGGGCGCAGGGGUGGGGGUCGCUGGCACGCGGGAGAGGACCCUGAGCUUCUCCCGGCCGGGAGCGUCCGGAGCCGGCCAGCCGAGUCUGACGGGUCUCCCGCCAUUUGAGACGCCGAUCGGGCACGUUGCCUGCACGUAGAGCGCUACCAGGCGCCCCAGGGUUUUGAUCAACCCCGACUCUAGCCUUUCCCAGAACUAGCCUUCCUCGGCCAGAAGAUGCCCCCGGGCGAGGGAAGAACCGGUAGGGGAGCGGAAAGGGCUUUGGCGUGGGAAGAGUAGAGACUGAAUUCCUUAAGAUUUGCCAGCUCUAAGACCUUGGCUACGUUAUCUGUUUUCUUAGACUAUUUCAUCCUUUAUUAAAAAAAAAAAAUUGUGGAGCCUUCUGGACAAGGAUGAAGAUACCAAGUGGAGUGUUUUGAGCGCGCGUCAACCGGCCGAGGGUUGUGAUUUCCAUCUUUUAAACGCGAGUCCAGACAUCGUGCUCCUCCCUUCUAAGGUCACUCGGAAGCCCUUGAGAGCCCCGGACCAGAGUCCAUUUGCCAUGACGCUGCUGCAUAACUCCGGUCUGGCUGAGCUCUGACCUCUGCGACAGAGAAUGGGCAUCUCCGUCUGCUGUAGAAGCCCUCAGGAGAAUUCAGUGGAGGACAUGUCUGACACUGAAAAUCCCUCUUAAAAUGCCACUGUACCAGAUCAGAAUAGAGAAGAUCAGAAUAAAGUGGGAGCACUGGCCGGCUGAAAAUUUCUAUAUCCUGGUUGCAAACAGAAGUCUUUUGAUCUUUUCUUAUAUUCUCUAAAUUUACUUUCAUUAUCUCUUCAAAUAUUUUUUUUCUCCAACUUUAUAUUUUUAUUUCUGAAAUCCUAUUAUCUGGAUAUUUUUACUUCUACUUUUACUAAUUUUUUUAAAUAUUUUCAAUUUUUAAAACCUCUCCCAUCUGGGAAAGUUAUUCAAGUUGGUCUUCCCGUUCACUAACAUUUUCUUCAGCAGUGUUCAUUCUAUUUAUCCCAACUACCUGGACUGAUCAGCACUUCUUGUUUUGAAGGGCUACUAAGAAUUAAUGAUUGCUAUAUUCAUUCAUUCACAUAUUCAUCAAGUAUUCACUGAAUGCCUACCUUAUGCCAGGCUGGGUUCUAGGCAUGGGGAAUUCAAUCGCCAUCUAUGCAAAGUAGACUUAACUAAUUUAAACCUCUAGCUCAGAUUCACAUGUGCAACUGGCUACUUGACAUCAGACGCAAGUCAACAUGUCCAAAAUUGACCCAGGGACCUUCCCCUAAUCAGUAUUCCCUUGGGGGCAAGUCACAGAAUUCCAGGUCACACUAGUUUAAGCCAUAAACCGAAGUUAAUGGCUCAGUUAACUGAGAAGUCCAGAGGAAGAAUGGCUUGAGGCCUGGUGGAUUGAUAUUAAAGGUUCAAUGAUAUUGACAGGACUCAGUAUCUAUUUUUCCAUUUCUUGCUUCUGCUUUUUUCUCUGCUGACUUCACUUGUGGGAUCUUCAUCCUGGACCAGAGAUUGAACAUAGUCCCUCUGCAGUGAAAUGCAGAGUCCUAACCACUGGACUGCCAGGGAAUCCCCUCUGCUGACUUGACUUCUAUGCUUACCCUCCCUCACAUGGAGGUGAGAUAAUCACCAGCAGCAACAGGCUUCCAUGCUUCCAGCUCAGCAUCUCCAGCAGACAAACAGAGGUUUCUCUAUCCCAAUAAUUCCAUCAUCAGCUCCAGGCUUGCGUCUUGUUGACUCUCCUUGGGUUUUGUGCCUAGUUAUGACACAAUCAUUGUAAUUUGGAGAAGGAAUCUUUGGAUGGGCCAGAUCCAGGUCUGAAGCUCACUCUUGCAGCUGAAGUUAUGUUCUGCUAGCUUUGCAACCCAGUACAAUUAAAAAAGCCUCCUCCCUGAGUGCUCCAUCAAAUGUUUGAAGGGGGACUCUCAUCAGCCUGGCUUAGGACUCACGGUCUUUUCCAAACCAAUGUCUGUGUCCUAUUGGUAGGCCUGGAUCUGGAGUUGCCAGAUUUAAUGAAUAAAAAUAUGAGUAUAAGGAAGAUCUGGUAUAUAUAUACAGUGGAAUAUAGCUCAGCCAUAAAAAGAAUGAAAUAACAUUUGCAGCAACAUGGAUAGACCUGGAGAUUGUGAUACUGAGUGAAGUAAGUCAGAGAAAGAGAAAUAUCCUAUGAUAUCCCUUCUAUGAAGAUUCUAAAAAGAAAUGAUACAAAUGAACUUAUUUACAAGACACAAACAGACUCACAGUCUUCCAGAAGGAACUUAUGGUUGCUGGGGGUAAGGAUAGGGGGAAUGGAUAGUUAGGGAGCUUGGGACAGACAAGUACACACUGCUAUAUUUAAAAUGGAUAACCAACAAGGACUUGCUGCGUAGCGCAGGGAACUCUGCUCAAUGUUAUGCGGCAGCCUGGAUGGGAGGGGAGUUUG
Long non-coding RNA from Cervus elaphus (red deer), 2466 nucleotides. RefSeq lists it as uncharacterized. The record is from RefSeq and is a predicted model, not a curated record. Lineage: Eukaryota; Metazoa; Chordata; Mammalia; Artiodactyla; Cervidae. The transcript has 2 exons.